RNAcentral lists this ribosomal RNA (1372 nucleotides) under uncultured bacterium. RNAcentral's name for it is "bacterial SSU rRNA". It matches the Rfam family "Bacterial small subunit ribosomal RNA", at positions 28 to 1381 of the family's 1533-position model. The record is from RNAcentral.
GAUGAACGCUGGCGGCGUGCCUAAUACAUGCAAGUCGAGCGAACGGACGAGAAGCUUGCUUCUCUGAUGUUAGCGGCGGACGGGUGAGUAACACGUGGAUAACCUACCUAUAAGACUGGGAUAACUUCGGGAAACCGGAGCUAAUACCGGAUAAUAUUUUGAACCGCAUGGUUCAAAAGUGAAAGACGGUCUUGCUGUCACUUAUAGAUGGAUCCGCGCUGCAUUAGCUAGUUGGUAAGGUAACGGCUUACCAAGGCAACGAUGCAUAGCCGACCUGAGAGGGUGAUCGGCCACACUGGAACUGAGACACGGUCCAGACUCCUACGGGAGGCAGCAGUAGGGAAUCUUCCGCAAUGGGCGAAAGCCUGACGGAGCAACGCCGCGUGAGUGAUGAAGGUCUUCGGAUCGUAAAACUCUGUUAUUAGGGAAGAACAUAUGUGUAAGUAACUGUGCACAUCUUGACGGUACCUAAUCAGAAAGCCACGGCUAACUACGUGCCAGCAGCCGCGGUAAUACGUAGGUGGCAAGCGUUAUCCGGAAUUAUUGGGCGUAAAGCGCGCGUAGGCGGUUUUUUAAGUCUGAUGUGAAAGCCCACGGCUCAACCGUGGAGGGUCAUUGGAAACUGGAAAACUUGAGUGCAGAAGAGGAAAGUGGAAUCCCAUGUGUAGCGGUGAAAUGCGCAGAGAUAUGGAGGAACACCAGUGGCGAAGGCGACUUUCUGGUCUGUAACUGACGCUGAUGUGCGAAAGCGUGGGGAUCAAACAGGACUAGAUACCCUGGUAGUCCACGCCGUAAACGAUGAGUGCUAAGUGUUAGGGGGUUUCCGCCCCUUAGUGCUGCAGCUAACGCAUUAAGCACUCCGCCUGGGGAGUACGACCGCAAGGUUGAAACUCAAAGGAAUUGACGGGGACCCCCACAAGCGGUGGAGCAUGUGGUUUAAUUCGAAGCAACGCGAAGAACCUUACCAAAUCUUGACAUCCUUUGACAACUCUAGAGAUAGAGCCUUCCCCUUCGGGGGACAAAGUGACAGGUGGUGCAUGGUUGUCGUCAGCUCGUGUCGUGAGAUGUUGGGUUAAGUCCCGCAACGAGCGCAACCCUUAAGCUUAGUUGCCAUCAUUAAGUUGGGCACUCUAAGUUGACUGCCGGUGACAAACCGGAGGAAGGUGGGGAUGACGUCAAAUCAUCAUGCCCCUUAUGAUUUGGGCUACACACGUGCUACAAUGGACAAUACAAAGGGCAGCGAAACCGCGAGGUCAAGCAAAUCCCAUAAAGUUGUUCUCAGUUCGGAUUGUAGUCUGCAACUCGACUACAUGAAGCUGGAAUCGCUAGUAAUCGUAGAUCAGCAUGCUACGGUGAAUACGUUCCCGGGUCU